RNAcentral lists this ribosomal RNA (323 nucleotides) under uncultured eukaryote. Its description in RNAcentral is "partial 18S ribosomal RNA". It matches the Rfam family "Eukaryotic small subunit ribosomal RNA", at positions 1470 to 1796 of the family's 1831-position model. The record is from RNAcentral.
CCCUUAGAUGUUCUGGGCCGCACGCGCGCUACACUGAUACAUGCAACGAGUUUAUAACCUUGAUCUGACGGUCUGGGUAAUCUUCAAACUGUAUCGUGUUAGGGAUCGAUUCUUGCAAUUUUUAAUCGUAAACGAGGAAUUCCUAGUAAACGCAAGUCAUCAGCUUGCAUUGAUUACGUCCCUGCCCUUUGUACACACCGCCCGUCGACUCUACCGAUUGAAUGGUUCGGUGAAAACUUUGGACUAUGGCAUUGUCCUUCAUUGGACUUCGCCGUAGGAAAUUGUUUAAACCUCAUCAUUUAGAGGAAGAAUAAGUCGUAACA